GGAGGCAGCAGUGGGGAAUUUUCCGCAAUGGGCGAAAGCCUGACGGAGCAAUACCGCGUGAGGGAGGAAGGCUCUUGGGUUGUAAACCUCUUUUCUCAGGGAAGAAAAUUGACGGUACCUGAGGAAUAAGCAUCGGCUAACUCCGUGCCAGCAGCCGCGGUAAUACGGAGGAUGCAAGCGUUAUCCGGAAUGAUUGGGCGUAAAGGGUCUGCAGGUGGCCGUGUAAGUCUGCUGUUAAAGAAUCUGGCUUAACCAGAUAAAAGCAGUGGAAACUACAGGGCUAGAGUGCGUUCGGGGUAGAGGGAAUUCCUGGUGUAGCGGUGAAAUGCGUAUAUAUCAGGAAGAACACCAGUGGCGAAAGCGCUCUACUAGGCCGCAACUGACACUGAGGGACGAAAGCUAGGGGAGCGAAUGGGAUUAGAUACCCCAGUAGUCCUAGCCGUAAACGAUGGAUACUAGGCGUGGCUUGUAUCGACC
Molecule: ribosomal RNA, 477 nt
Filed under: Umezakia ovalisporum
Lineage: Bacteria; Bacillati; Cyanobacteriota; Cyanophyceae; Nostocales; Nodulariaceae
Description: bacterial SSU rRNA
Rfam family: Bacterial small subunit ribosomal RNA
Source: RNAcentral